UCUGUACACAUCCCUUAUUAAGACGCGUCUUUUAUGAGCCCUGUAUUAUGUAUGUAAGUAUAACGCAAGUAUAAUGCACGUAGUUAUAUGUAUAUUCUGAUCCUCUCAUCUCAUUGUCUGCAGAGAAACUCGGUUCUAAUCAGGUGGGUGACGACAACCCUGACGGAAAACUUAAUACUCUUACUACAGGUAUUCCGUCUUGGAUUCGACGGCAGUUCGGCUUCGGCGACAGAAGAGGCGACAUCGGGAGCGACAUCAGUAGCAAAGCAGGUCCCUCAGAGCGACGAUGAAGAGACAGAACGAUGACCAUUGCGUGAUGGAACCGAAUCAGGACAUCAACGAGUCUCUCCAAAGAUCGACGCCUCUCCAUCCUGAUGAUGAUCAGAUGAUGGAUCUGCAACACAUGAGACGUACAACACCUUCCUUUUGCGAAGGUAUGUUUCAUCUAAUUUAUCCCUUUCGAGAGUCCAUAGUAUAUUCCAACAUUUAGAGUCUGCGUAUAUGAAUUGCACCCCC
Molecule: unclassified non-coding RNA, 516 nt
Filed under: Athalia rosae (coleseed sawfly)
Lineage: Eukaryota; Metazoa; Arthropoda; Insecta; Hymenoptera; Athaliidae
Description: misc RNA ENSAEAG00005002543.1
Source: RNAcentral